AGAGUUUGAUCAUGGCUCAGGACGAACGCUGGCGGCGUGCUUAACACAUGCAAGUCGAACGAGGCCCUGCCUUCGGGUGGGUGUUCUAGUGGCGAACGGGUGAGUAACACGUGGGCAACCUGCCCCCGGCUCUGGGAUAACUCCAAGAAAUUGGGGCUAAUACCGGAUAUGACCGCUGGCCGCAUGGUCUGGUGGUGGAAAGAUUUAUCGGCUGGGGAUGGGCCCGCGGCCUAUCAGCUUGUUGGUGGGGUAGUGGCCUACCAAGGCGACGACGGGUAGCCGGCCUGAGAGGGUGACCGGCCACACUGGGACUGAGACACGGCCCAGGCUCCUACGGGAGGCAGCAGUGGGGAAUAUUGCGCAAUGGGCGAAAGCCUGACGCAGCGACGCCGCGUGGGGGAUGACGGCCUUCGGGUUGUAAACCUCUUUCAGCAGGGACGAAGCGCAAGUGACGGUACCUGCAGAAGAAGCACCGGCCAACUACGUGCCAGCAGCCGCGGUAAUACGUAGGGUGCAAGCGUUGUCCGGAAUUAUUGGGCGUAAAGAGCUCGUAGGCGGUCUGUCGCGUCGGCUGUGAAAUCCCGAGGCUCAACCUCGGGUCUGCAGUCGAUACGGGCAAACUGGAGUGUUGCAGGGGAGACUGGAAUUCCUGGUGUAGCGGUGAAAUGCGCAGAUAUCAGGAGGAACACCGGUGGCGAAGGCGGGUCUCUGGGCAACAACUGACGCUG
Molecule: ribosomal RNA, 728 nt
Filed under: uncultured bacterium
Lineage: Bacteria
Description: bacterial SSU rRNA
Rfam family: Bacterial small subunit ribosomal RNA
Source: RNAcentral